This 253-nucleotide ribosomal RNA is filed under the name uncultured bacterium. RNAcentral describes it as "partial 16S ribosomal RNA". It matches the Rfam family "Bacterial small subunit ribosomal RNA", at positions 524 to 776 of the family's 1533-position model. The record is from RNAcentral.
UACAUAGGGGGCAAGCGUUAUCCGGAAUUAUUGGGUGUAAAGGGUGCGUAGACGGAGAAACGAGUUGGUUGUGAAAUCCCUCGGCUCAACCGAGGAACUGCAACCAAAACUAUUUCCCUUGAGUGUCGGAGAGGAAAGUGGAAUUCCUAGUGUAGCGGUGAAAUGCGUAGAUAUUAGGAGGAACACCAGUGGCGAAGGCGACUUUCUGGACGAUAACUGACGUUGAGGCACGAAAGUGUGGGGAGCAAACAGG